CACCGACAUCAGGACUGCAACCGGAGAACGUGAGGCAUGUAUUGCAGGGCACCAAGCAAGGAGAAUCAGGCAGCUGGUGCCUAAGACUGGGACUCUCAGAUGGCUUACAGACAGGGUCUCACCCUGUCACCCAGGCUGGAGUGCAGUGGUAUAAACAUGGCUCACUUCUGUCAAGCCUGGCCUUUGCUUCAUUCUGUACCCUGAACUUCUGGAAGCAGAAACAUAAGAACUGGCACUGUGUGCUCUAAAGACAAAGAAUAAAUGAGUGAAAGAUGAAUAAAUAAAUGACCG
Molecule: long non-coding RNA, 291 nt
Filed under: Callithrix jacchus (white-tufted-ear marmoset)
Lineage: Eukaryota; Metazoa; Chordata; Mammalia; Primates; Cebidae
Description: lncRNA (ENSCJAG00000078091.1)
Source: RNAcentral